AUCCAGAGACCACACUAAAAUGGUGGCUGACGUGGAGACAGAGGAAGCUCCUUUCUAGUUAUGGCCACAAGGCAGGAUGCUGAGGUGUUGUCUAGGCUCAGUUGGAUCUCCAAGUGGCGGUACCGUUCUCUCCACUUCAAAAAUACACAGAAACAUGUGGAAAUGUUCUGUCAUCCAGAAUGAAAAGCAUGUGCACCAAAUUUUCACAGACCUGAUUCGAAUGUAGAUAAAAGUGCAAAAUCCAGAGGAGGGAACACGCUAUAGAAAUCCUGUCUUCUAUACUAUAAUUUAAUCAUCGUGUGCCACAGAAUGUCUUUGCAUAAAUUACAACCACAAUAAUAGCAUCACUUUCACAAAAGGUGGCCUCUAAUCGAUUUGACUCUCCAAGAGAUGGCUGGGUUUUUCAAAGCAGAGAAAUGAUGACCUGCAGUCUUAAAGAGCUGUUGAUUGCACCUGGGGCUCCCGUGGCCGGCGCCCAUCGAGCAGCCCAUCCUGGCUGUUCCCUUGUUCAGCUGAUUUUCUUUUUUAUCUUGACAUUUGCUAACCGCUUGGUUUUUAUUUUCCGGGAAGAGAGGAUUAUUGGCAACUGGCACCACCCCCAUGUCUGGAGGAGGGACGUUUCUAGGAUGACCCCCAGAGUGGAGAAAUAGCCGAGCUCAUGAGGCAACCCACACAGGCAGGCUGGAGAGGAGUGGCAAGAAGCUCACCUUCGGACAGUAGUGAGCAGAGCAACAGAGGCCCCCAGAGACUUCGCACAACGGAAAAGAGAUCAACUCCCGCAUUUGCAGGGGACGUGAAAGUGCAAUACUGUGAGGAACAAAAGGAAGCCUCAUCUCUGGAAGCCGGGAGGAAAAACAGUCGGUGUAGACAGCAGCGGCAGGGACCAGAGCUGACCAGAAGGCUGGGUCCCAGCAACAAUUAGAGACAGGCAGCAGCUGAGGCCCCUUCUCUGAGAACCAUUUCAAUUGCACAGUGGCCACAGAAGGCUCCAUUGGCCCGGCAGCCAGCUCUGCAGAGCCAUUUGUCCACAAGGAAAAUAAUAGCCCCGGCCUCAUUGCUUUGGGCUGCAGGGAGGACAAUGACCCACCAUGAAAAGAGUUAAAAAGAUUCUGGGGAAGGGGAAAGGCAGGCCCACACGGUGGCAAUUCAAGAUCUUUUGGAUGCCGUGAGCGUGUUCUUUAAUUAAGCCCCUCUUCUUCAGCUCAUCCUGCAGAAACGCACCUGCUUCCCAUCUGCCAUCCAAAACGGCAAGCACAAGAAUGACUUCACACUGUCACUUUCAGAGUUCCGCUGUGGCCCACAGUGAUUUUUCAAGAAAGGCAGCCACAGACUCGCUCGCGCUUUCUCUUUCUCCUUUCCUCUGAAAGACUCUAUAAAAACCACAUUAAAAAGUGUGUGAGCCAAGCAAUUUCAUUUAUCAAAGGAAGAAGGUCAUCCAUAGCAUUCAUUCUAAGAAUAUCAGGCACACGGCCAGCCCUGGACACAAGGCAUGAAGACCAGAGGGCCCUUUAUUGACCUAAUCUCUAUUUUGUCGCCAAACUGCAUCUGUGUCUGAAAGCUGGGACACACAAUAUUUCCCUCUACCAAAAUAAUUUUAUUUUCUGCAGCAGCAUGUAACAAACAAUUAAUGGUGGUAACAUGGGCUUCUGUCAUUUUCUGAACAACCCAGUUCUGUUUGGUGUUACUGCAGUGGUUGUUAUUUUGGGUGGUUCUGUGCUUAUUCCAUUCUGCCAAUUGGUCCCAUUCGCAUGGGCGUGAGCCCGUGCCGUCAUCUACCACCUUGGAAUCCAUGUUAUUGCCAGAACUGUGUGGGGCCUUGCUUGAGGGCCUGUCCCCUGUCCUCUUCACAGAUGUUUCUGUGCCUUCAGGGAGAGGACUGAUUGUGCUGUCUCCCUCUCCCACCCGUGUCUGCUGUCUCCAAAACUAAGGGAGGCUGCGGUGAAACCAGCCUGGCCCAGGUUCCUCUGGUGCCUGCCGUGGCUCAAAUUAUCCAAACUACAGUGGCUGAUUCCCAGCGACCCAUCCCUUAGUGCCCUUGUGCCCCGUUGAAGAAGUGGCCCAUGUUAUGAAUAGGGAAGCUAAGGUCAUUAAGAAUUUGUGCAGGCGUACAAAGAAAGUGCAAGUCAGAGAUCCUUGUCUCAGCUACUUUGCUUGAAAAAUGACUCCAUGCUCUGAGAUGCUAUAAAUGGAGCAAACAGUGUGAAGUGGUUCUCCCCCUCCAAGAAACUGCCCCCUGAUGCGUUCCCCCAUUAGACACCUGCUCCUCCAAGCCUGGUCUUCUCUCUGCAACCACUUCCCCUAUGCCUCUCCCCACCCACCAUGCAUGACUCCUUGUCACACACAUGAUCUCUGGUCCUACCUUGCACUUGGUGCUGGGGGCUGUGAUUCCCUCUGCCUCUGUCUCCCCACAUCGUCCCUGACAUCACCUUUCACCGUGCACUGGUCUCGCUUCCUCGGGAACUCUAUGAAUGGCCUUGUUCUCUGAUUAUUUGAUUAUUCCAUUAUCAACCCAAAGCUCACUGGGUCUAUGGGGCUGAGAGGUCGUUUUUAUUACAUCAUUUUAAUUAUUCAGAUAAAAGACUCGCAGGCACAGAUUUAUCACCACUGCCUAAAGAAAAGCAGAGACACACAUAAUUCCAUUUUGAAAAUCCAUUCUUAAAAGCAAAAAUAUGAUUCAGUUGAAGGUAUUCAGAAAAAAAAAUGCUCAUUGAAAAACCCUGAUGAUUUUUAGCAUUUCAAAUAAAUUGUGUACAGUUACGGUCAUUUGUUAACUAUUUUGGAGACUGCGAGCUGAUCAUUAUCUCUCUUUUUCAGAUAACAAAAUGUAUCUACCUUCUCCCAGAGUGUAAACUAAUCUGGUGGCUGGAAAAAGCAAACAAACAAACAAAGAUCUGUUAAGAAAGAUCUGAUUUUUCAAAUGGCGCAUACCAUUCCUUGAAACAGAGGUGAUGAAUAGGUAGAGACAAAAGCAUCAAACAUCCAGGCAGGACCUGUUUAUCUCUGGGCAGAAAUCUGUUCAAUUCCAUGAUAAAACAAGGUUUGAAGUCAGGGAUUCAAUUUCACAAACUAAACAGACGUGUGCACACACAUGUGCACACUGUGCAUGUCCCAGUGCACACACGCAGAACCCAUUUCGUAGGGACACACAUGUGCACACUGCAUGCCCCAGUGCACACACGCACAACCCAUUUCGUAGGGACACACAUGUGCACACUGCAUGCCCCAGUGCACACACACACAACCCAUUUCAUAGGGACACACGUGCACACUGCAUGCCCCAGUGCACACACGCACAACCCAUUUCGUAGGGACACACAUGUGCACACUGCAUGCCCCAGUGCACACACGCACAACCCAUUUCGUAGGGACACACAUGUGCACACUGCAUGCCCCAAUGCACAGACACACAACCCAUUUUGUAGGGUCCUAGCAGAAUUUUCUCUGUAGGAAAAGCACUCAAUCU
Homo sapiens (human) is the source of this 3463-nucleotide long non-coding RNA. RefSeq lists it as uncharacterized. Lineage: Eukaryota; Metazoa; Chordata; Mammalia; Primates; Hominidae. The transcript is spliced from 3 exons. The record is from RefSeq and is marked predicted.